GUGGGGAAUCUUAGACAAUGGGGGAAACCCUGAUCUAGCCAUGCCGCGUGAGCGAUGAAGGCCUUAGGGUUGUAAAGCUCUUUCAGCUGGGAAGAUAAUGACGGUACCAGCAGAAGAAGCCCCGGCUAACUCCGUGCCAGCAGCCGCGGUAAUACGGAGGGGGCUAGCGUUGUUCGGAAUUACUGGGCGUAAAGCGCGCGUAGGCGGACCAGAAAGUUGGAGGUGAAAUCCCAGGGCUCAACCUUGGAACUGCCUUCAAAACUCCUGGUCUGGAGUUCGAGAGAGGUGAGUGGAAUGCCGAGUGUAGAGGUGAAAUUCGUAGAUAUUCGGAGGAACACCAGUGGCGAAGGCGGCUCACUGGCUCGAUACUGACGCUGAGGUGCGAAAGCGUGGGGAGCAAACAGGAUUAGAAACCCCUGUAGUCC
This 425-nucleotide ribosomal RNA is filed under the name uncultured bacterium. RNAcentral describes it as "partial 16S ribosomal RNA". It matches the Rfam family "Bacterial small subunit ribosomal RNA", at positions 354 to 796 of the family's 1533-position model. The record is from RNAcentral.